CCCUUAGAUGCUCUGGGCCGCACGCGCGCUACACUGGUCGAUGCAACGAGUUUCUUUCCUUGGCCGACAGGCCCGGGCAAUCUUUGAACGCUGGUCGUGAUGGGGAUAGACUUUUGCAAUUUUUGGUCUUCAACGAGGAAUUCCUAGUAAACGCAAGUCAUCAACUUGCAUUGAUUACGUCCCUGCCCUUUGUACACACCGCCCGUCGCACCUACCGAUUGAAUGGUCCGGUGAAGCCUCCGGAUUGGCGCGCACCUCGGUGCCGCCGAGAAGUUGGCUAAACCUUACCAUUUAGAGGAAGGUGAAGUCGUANCA
This 315-nucleotide ribosomal RNA is filed under the name uncultured eukaryote. RNAcentral's name for it is "partial 18S ribosomal RNA". It matches the Rfam family "Eukaryotic small subunit ribosomal RNA", at positions 1470 to 1796 of the family's 1831-position model. The record is from RNAcentral.